This is a long non-coding RNA of Microplitis mediator, 2919 nucleotides long. RefSeq lists it as uncharacterized. The transcript is spliced from 4 exons. Lineage: Eukaryota; Metazoa; Arthropoda; Insecta; Hymenoptera; Braconidae. The record is from RefSeq and is a predicted model, not a curated record.
CCGAAGGAUAAUGCUGCGGAUGAUGUUGAGGUCGCGAUGCCGUUGAAGAACUACCAGGAUAAUUUUGUGGUCUCGAUGAACUAGACGUCGAAUGAUGUGGACGGUUUGACGACGGGGAUUGACCAGCCCACGGAUAAGACGACCUUUCGCUGUCUCUCGGAUGAACACAAAUAUCACCUUUGGAGUGGGAAAAUACAGUACCAGGACCGCAUUCAAAUCUAAAAGUCGUCAGUGGACUAGAGCCACCCCAGCUUACGCAUCUGUAGUAAAUAUGACAGUCUCGUGGAUCAGCUUGAUAACCUUCCUCACGGCAUUUGAAAUUAUUUCCCUGUCCAGCAACAUAAUCUCCUAGACAAAAAGAAAUUUUUUCGAUAAAUAAACCAUGAAAAAUGAAAUUAUCGAUUCACUUAAUUUACAUUCGAUGAAAACGUGUAGUGCAGUAUUUAAAUAAACGAGUUUGCGUUAUCCUAUGGGUAAUUGAUAUGAUACGGCUGAGAAAAGUACAUGUAUAUAAAAUAUAUAUGCAUAGCUAAAGCAAUAAGCCAAAGAUAAUAAAUGAUGAGAAUGAAAACGUACAGGGCGCACAUAUAAACGCCACAAGGGCUUUGGCAUCAUCAUCGGCACCGGCAGACUACACACGAGAGCAACAGGAGCAUCAGAUAUUGAAGGCUGUUAAGAUGUCCUCGUGAAACCUGUUUGACGGCAACAGCAUCCGCAGAAAAUAUUUUUCUUAUUCAACUACCCAUCGGCUAAGCGAGGCUAGAAAUAACGCCGUCUUCCAGCACCAAAUCGGCUGCUGUGGCCUCAAGACAAUUGUCUUUUUAUGCUGUCGUCUGUCGUAAAAGGAAAAUAAUAAUUACAUCAGUGCUGGCGCUAAUUUUCAACAUAAAUUGCAAUUAUAUAUAUUUAUAAAUCACGGCUCUGAUAAUAUAAACAGUUUUUCAAAUGGAAAUUCCUGAAUUAAACAUCAAACAGAUGAGAUCAAAUCACAGUGGGACAGUUACUUUAUCGUCCUCGUAGCCGUCCGAGUUGGCUUUUAUCCAAUACUGAAAAUUCCGCAUAAGACACCUACAGCUGUUUAAUUCUGACGUUUAAAAUAACGUUUAUGGAAUUUAAUUGGAUAAAUAAACCCGUAAGGAAGAGCGAUAGUACGCACACGAGUCCUUGGAACGCGUUAUCGGGGAUGAUUGGAUGUAAGGUGACUCGGCGAUAGGCCGGAGUCCGAGUACAGAGCAAAGAUUAAAGAGUACCGAGUUGUGCGCUGUUGGAUUAAGGAAGUCGUCAUACUACUUAACUAGCUCCUUUCUCCUUUACGGCUGUUGCUCCUGCGGUGUGUUACGACUUGUGUGCAAUAUCAGGGUGAGUUCCGCUAUAUACCGAGCCACGGUCAUGAUGACAUAAUGCAGCAGCAAAUUAUGUAAUGCAAGGUCUGCAAAGUCACUGACUCUACUUUCAAAUGACUUUCAAUGUCACCCUUUUAAAGAUAAACUUAUAUAGAUAUAUAUAUAGACUAGCGUGGUUUUAAAUUUAAAUUAUCAACUGAUUCUACGCGUUUUUAUCAGACCACUUGUAUCAAUCUCGCGAUACAAAGUCUUGAUAAAUGAUCCUUGAGAUCCUUAUUUUUGUUUAAUUCUCUCAACUUCCGCCAACAACUAACGGUGUUGUGUCUUAUAUUCAAAAUACUAUAGAAUACGUUAAAUGUCACUGCCCACUUGACAAUAAAUCGUGACUCACUUUUGUCCAAACAGAAUGCCUAUUUAGUUUUUUUUCUUUAGGUCAUGAAUAAAUUAUUUUAUUAAUAAUUAAUGAGGUGACUGAACUCGACUCGCGAUAUUUACUUUUUCACGAAUGCCCAUUUGCUAUUUUUUUUACCGAUAAAAAAAACUAUCAUUCAACACUUUUUUUCGUCAAGUCAUUAUUAAAUUACUUAAAUGACACUGAUUGACUGACAAUUAUUUUUUGCAUGGAAUAAAAACUCGCGGAUAAAAUAUAAAAAAAUAGUUUCCUGUAAGAGUAAAUGAUGGCUAUCGAGAACAUGAUGUACGGUCUUUUUCAGUCACAUAAUUCCUGUGAAAUACUUUUUUUAUUUAUAUAAAUUUUUUAUUUUCUUGCUCUACAAGAGAUAUAGGGGCUGUUAGUGAGUGCGGUUGAAUAAUAAAAUAAAAGCAGCAUAAAAUAAACCAACUCUUCACGAAGUUGUUACCAAUAGCUCGAACUUGAGUUACGAGCAAUGAUGAGGAGCAAGUGAGGUGGUAGUGAACCUGGCUAUUAUUGCAAUAUCUACUAUAUAUAUACAGGUAGACCCCAGUACCGAGUAGAGACAAGAGACUCAGUACGAAUGGAUGAGAGAGCUACAACCUUGACGCGGUUGCUUGCAAGGUCGUCCUCGUGCAUCUAUGUAAGUACAUAAGUACCAAAGUACUUUAUACGUACGGCAUUUGGUCUCUAUUUUUUAUUUAUUUUUUCGUUGACGAGACCCCGAGAUAACGAUAAUGACCACGACUAAGACGACGACGAUCCAAGCGCGGAAGGUCGUACCAAGAUACCUCGACGAUUAUCCACAUUGUACUUUUUUUUUCCUCGUAUUUUUUAUUUCAUUUUAUUUUAACACACACUAUAAAGGUAUUUGUAAUUAAAGGGACAAGCUUAAAUUACUCGUACGUGUCCUCCGAUCUCUCACCUUUUUUUUAUUCUCAACUACCGCUAUUAUCUAUCAUGGCAAAGUUAAAUUAAACAAUUUCCCGGCCUCUACACCAUUAUAACACUAUAUAAAUAAUUAUUAUUAUUUUUUAUUUAUUUAUUUUUUUCCCUACUACAGAUAAAUACAUGCACUGAGAAAAAAUUAACUUGGUGCAAACAAUAUUUUCUUAAGUAGUAAAUUAUUUAAAAUUAUCACAUUAUUAAUUCCACAUUUAAGUU